This is a non-coding RNA of Taeniopygia guttata (zebra finch), 595 nucleotides long. The record is from RefSeq and is a predicted model, not a curated record. Lineage: Eukaryota; Metazoa; Chordata; Aves; Passeriformes; Estrildidae.
UUUUUUUUUAUUUUUUGGAUAAUCUGAAAUAUUUUUGUAAUAUAUUCUAGCUUGGAUUUAUAUGGUUUAGUGAACACCCACUUUUCUCAACAGGUUUGCAGCUUUUUAAGGUUGCACUCCUGCCAUGCAGUUCCCCUUGAGCUUCAAUUUGUGACAUUUGGAGAGAACUGCAGAUACUCUUUAGAGAUGGAUUUCCAGAUGCAUCUUUUCCUUUGUUAUUUCUCUAGGUAUGUGUAACCAGUCCUGUAAAAUGAUGUGUUUCUUAAUUUCAGUGGGAAUUGACAGUGCAGUGCAGAGUGCAAGCAGACUCAGAAUCACCACCUAAAACAGUGGAUGGAAAAGAAAACAUCAGAUUAAUCCAGAGUUCCUGUGAUUUGUGGAGUAGAACAACUAGUGCAGAUUUCAGUCUGCCUAAAAUAAUUUUCUCUGCUGGAUGAAGCAGAUUAUUACAAGUGGAAACAGCAGAUCUGUGAAGUCUAUUCUUCUGUCUAAAAAAUAGUUAAAGUUAGCCAAGAAGCUCAAAGUUCAGAGUGAGGAAUCAAUGGAUUACCAGACUUUUGUGUCACCCAGAGGUGAGAAAAACAACCAAAACAAA